Molecule: ribosomal RNA, 164 nt
Filed under: Duhaldea cappa
Lineage: Eukaryota; Viridiplantae; Streptophyta; Magnoliopsida; Asterales; Asteraceae
Also listed under: 1 other name
Description: 5.8S ribosomal RNA
Rfam family: 5.8S ribosomal RNA
About the family: 5.8S ribosomal RNA (5.8S rRNA) is a component of the large subunit of the eukaryotic ribosome. It is transcribed by RNA polymerase I as part of the 45S precursor that also contains 18S and 28S rRNA.
Source: RNAcentral
CAAACGACUCUCGGCAACGGAUAUCUUGGCUCACGCAUCGAUGAAGAACGUAGCAAAAUGCGAUACUUGGUGUGAAUUGCAGAAUCCCGUGAACCAUCGAGUUUUUGAACGCAAGUUGCGCCCGAAGCCAUUCGGCCGAGGGCACAUCUGCCUGGGCGUCACGC